Non-coding RNA from Acanthosepion pharaonis, 114 nucleotides. NCBI's taxonomy places the organism in Eukaryota, Metazoa, Mollusca, Cephalopoda, Sepiida, Sepiidae. The record is from the annotation of a GenBank genome assembly.
UUACGAUAAUAUCACGAUGAAAAAUCAGUUCUUAUACGAUCUCCAAAGUUAAACAACGUCGAGGCUGGUUAUUACCUUGAUGAGUGACCACUUGGGAAUACCAGGUGUGGUAAG